CCUCUCUGGAUGGAUCCGAGACCCCUCUGGAGUCCCUGGAUGGAUCCCAGAUCCCCCAAAUGGAUCCCAGACUCUUCAAAUGGACCCUGGACCCCUCUGGACUCGCAGGAUGGAUCCCAGAUCCCCUUGGACCCCUCAAAUGGAACCCGGACCCCCCAAAUGGGUCCCGGACCCCUCUGGACCUUCUGGACGGAUCCCAGAUCCCCCAAAUGGAUCCCAGACUCUUCAAAUGGAUCCUGGGCCUCUCUGGAUCUCUGGGAUGGAUCCUGGAUCCCCCUCGACCCCUUGAACGGAUCCUGGACCCCUCUGGAUCUUCUGGGUGGAUCCUGGAGCCCCCAAAUGGAUCCCAGAUCCCCCCGGAGCCCUCGUAUGGACCCCAGAGCCCCCGAAUGGGUCCCGGAUCCCAAAUGGAUCCCCCGGACAGAUCCCGGAUCCCAAAUGGACCCACAGGACGGAUCCCAGAUCCCAAAUGGAUCCUCUGGAUGGAUCCUGGGGACCCCUGGACCCCUGGAUGGAUCCCGGAGCCCAAAUGAACCCACAGGACAGAUCCUGGAUCCCAAAUGGAUCCCAGACCCCUCUGGAUCCCCCGGGCGGAUCCCGGACCGGGACAAUUGUGGGGUCACCCCCCCCGCCCCUCCCCCGCUGUACAGAAAUACAGGAUCCCAAAUAGCCUCGA
Molecule: non-coding RNA, 676 nt
Organism: Agelaius phoeniceus (red-winged blackbird)
Lineage: Eukaryota; Metazoa; Chordata; Aves; Passeriformes; Icteridae
Source: RefSeq, a predicted model, not a curated record